This 923-nucleotide small RNA is filed under the name Arabidopsis thaliana (thale cress). RNAcentral's name for it is "ATSL265460". The record is from RNAcentral. Lineage: Eukaryota; Viridiplantae; Streptophyta; Magnoliopsida; Brassicales; Brassicaceae.
AAAAAAUCCCGCAAAAUAUUUUUUUUGGCGGGAAAUAGAUUUACAAGAGAUUUUAAAAGGGUUUUAAAAGAUUUACAAGGGAUUUUAAAAUGGUUUUAAAAUAUUUACAAGGAAUUUUAAAAGAAAGAUUUACAAGGGAUUUUAAAAGGGUUUUAAAAGAUUUACAAGGAAUUUUAAAGGGCUUUAAAAGAUUUACAAAAGUUUUUUAAAGAUUUUUAAAGGUUUAAAAUUGUUUUAAAAGGAUUUUAAAAUAUUUACAAGAGAUUUUAAAAGGGUUUUAAAAUAUUUACAAGGGAUUUUAAAGGGCUUUAAAAGAUUGUUAAAGAGUUUAAAAGUAUUUUGAAUGAUUUACAAGGGAUUUCAAAAGAGUUUUAAAAGAUUUAUAAGAGAUUUUUAAAGGGUUUAAAUGGAGUUAAAAGGAUGUACAAGGGUUUUUAAAAGUUUUUUAAAAAAUUUACAAGAAGACCCUUUAAAAACUCUUGUAAAUCUUUUUAAAACCUUUUAAAAUUCCUUGUAAAUCUUUUAAAACCCUUUUAAAAUUGCUUGUAAAACCCUUUUAAAACCCUUUUAAAAUUUCUUGUAAAUCUAUUUCUUUCCAAAAAAAUUUACAAGGAUUUUUAAAAGUAUUUUUUUGGUUGAGAAAAAAUUUGCCGGGAAAAAAGUUUGGCGGAAAUUUUGUUCGGUGGAAAAAUUUCAGUUUCCAAUUACAUGUUCUUAUUAGAUGAGGAUAAUUUGGUCAUUUUAAAAAUAGACAACAUAAAAGAGUAUUGUUGAAAAAGGAUAGUAAAAAAAGGUAGUUUUGCAAAUCUCCCAAAAAAUAAUAUCUAGAAUUUUUUUUGAUUGUUAUGUAUUAUUAAAAUAUUUUUAAUUGUUAAUUUUAAUAAUAAAAAUAAAAAUAAUUAUUGAGUGCUAAUUUUGUCUAA